Molecule: small nucleolar RNA, 75 nt
Organism: Diceros bicornis minor
Lineage: Eukaryota; Metazoa; Chordata; Mammalia; Perissodactyla; Rhinocerotidae
Product: small nucleolar RNA SNORD113/SNORD114 family
Exons: 1
Source: RefSeq, a predicted model, not a curated record
UGGACCAAUGAUGACGACUCAGGUUGUUUGGGCCAUGGAUGGUGAAUAAUAUGUGUCUGGAACUGUGAGGUCCAA